AUGCUGCUAUUCACCUGGGCUGUAAGUGCAGAACAACACCUUGGUUAUUCUUUCAGUAGAAAGGGAUCAGAUCUUUGGUGACCUGACCUUUGAUCCAUUCAUCUUGCAUAACUCGGUUGGUGGGAAAUUGGAACUGACUGGGACUCAUAGCAACUCAAAAAUGAAGUAUGGACAUGACUUUGUGUUUAUUAACAUCUCCAGCUGAUGCUAUGCGGCAGCAACCAGGAAUCAUUCACAUUGCCAUCUUACAUGUUGCAAUUGUGUUCUUGCCUGUUUUGCAGAGAUCACGACGGCGUCAGUGGCGUUCUCCUCCAUCACAGCCUUUUGAACGGAAUACCCUGUGUUCCAUUUUCAGCUCGACAACAUUCUGAUGAUCAGGUAACUGUUUUGAUGAAGGUUGAAGUGACUACCACGCCAUAAUUCCCUUAAGAGGGGAGCACUUGUACGUUAUCUAUAUUGUAAUGCAGCAUACUCUAGGUGUAAUGCAUAGGUCGUAUUAUUCUUAUCAAACAUUGUAAUUUAUUUGGUGUAAUCUUGAUGUAUGGACUCUUUGUUUUAAUCGACUGUUUGUUUUAAUCUUGAUAUAUGGACUAUUUCGUUUAA
Molecule: long non-coding RNA, 603 nt
Organism: Panicum virgatum (switchgrass)
Lineage: Eukaryota; Viridiplantae; Streptophyta; Magnoliopsida; Poales; Poaceae
Exons: 2
Source: RefSeq, a predicted model, not a curated record